Long non-coding RNA from Empidonax traillii (willow flycatcher), 392 nucleotides. RefSeq lists it as uncharacterized. The record is from RefSeq and is a predicted model, not a curated record. NCBI's taxonomy places the organism in Eukaryota, Metazoa, Chordata, Aves, Passeriformes, Tyrannidae. The transcript is spliced from 3 exons.
GAAAAUGGAAAGGGCCCAGGACUCCAAGAUGGCCGAGGAAUUCCGGGAGCUUUACCAAAGAAUUCAAGGUCUGGAAUACAAAUUACAUGGGAGGCUGUGGUCCCAAGAGCACAACCUUCAGCUCCUCAGAGCAGAAACUGGGAUGGAACAAGGUGUGCUGAUAGAAAGUGCAUCAGGAGACAAGGGCACUGAUAGAGAGGCAGAGACAGCUCCCAAGAUGGUGAAGUAUUGAUCAACAAAAUUAUAGUCUGGCACUCAUUACAUUUCUCUGGAGCUUGGCCCCCCAGCCCCUGCACUCCCUGGAUUUGCUGUGUUGGGAAGUGCUCAUGCUGCCGGAAGACUGAGAUAAUUUUUCUGGCUUUUCUCCCUCGUGUGAGCUGAAGAGCCACACG